RNAcentral lists this long non-coding RNA (437 nucleotides) under Elaeis guineensis (African oil palm). RNAcentral describes it as "long non-coding RNA (EGUI_LNC006168)". Lineage: Eukaryota; Viridiplantae; Streptophyta; Magnoliopsida; Arecales; Arecaceae. The record is from RNAcentral.
AUAUGUGAUGGUGUGCCACCACUGCUAAAGCUACUAUAUCACCAUGUGGAAGAGAUUGAAUGGACGUGGCCCCGUGCUCCAAUUGAAAUGGAUGCUUGACUGGCCGCUGGCCGCCCUCAUCCGUUCGUACAUCUCCCCACAUGUGCGAUUCAUCGCCCACCUCACCUCACUAGUGCCACUGUGGAACCCUAUGAAAGGGGCGAUAUCGGUCCACUACAAUAUGUCGGAGAAUGGCAACGCAUCCCUGAUUGCGAGAUUGCGACGCGAGAAAUCACGAUUGUAGUAGAACCCGCUCGCCUCCCCAGCGCCACCGUCAGUGCCUCCCUCGUCAGAUCCAGCACCAUUCUCUUAAGUCCGUCCAUCGCCACUGCAUCCAUCUUGACCUCUAGUAGUGCCCGCACCGUCGUCGCCACGUGCAGUGGCAUCAGUCCCCCGCC